GACGAACGCUGGCGGCGUGCUUAACACAUGCAAGUCGAACGGAAAGGCCCUGCUUCUGUGGGGUGCUCGAGUGGCGAACGGGUGAGUAACACGUGAGUAACCUGCCCUUGACUUUGGGAUAACUUCGGGAAACUGGGGCUAAUACCGGAUAGGAGCUCCUGCUGCAUGGUGGGGGUUGGAAAGUUUCGGCGGUUGGGGAUGGACUCGCGGCUUAUCAGCUUGUUGGUGGGGUAGUGGCUUACCAAGGCUUUGACGGGUAGCCGGCCUGAGAGGGUGACCGGCCACAUUGGGACUGAGAUACGGCCCAGACUCCUACGGGAGGCAGCAGUGGGGAAUAUUGCACAAUGGGCGGAAGCCUGAUGCAGCAACGCCGCGUGCGGGAUGACGGCCUUCGGGUUGUAAACCGCUUUCGCCUGUGACGAAGCGUGAGUGACGGUAAUGGGUAAAGAAGCACCGGCUAACUACGUG
This 468-nucleotide ribosomal RNA is filed under the name uncultured bacterium. Its description in RNAcentral is "partial 16S ribosomal RNA". It matches the Rfam family "Bacterial small subunit ribosomal RNA", at positions 28 to 507 of the family's 1533-position model. The record is from RNAcentral.